This 499-nucleotide ribosomal RNA is filed under the name uncultured bacterium. RNAcentral describes it as "partial 16S ribosomal RNA". It matches the Rfam family "Bacterial small subunit ribosomal RNA", at positions 28 to 507 of the family's 1533-position model. The record is from RNAcentral.
GACGAACGCUGGCGGCGUGCCUAAUACAUGCAAGUCGAGCGAAGUUUUUCUGGUGCUUGCACUAGAAAAACUUAGCGGCGAACGGGUGAGUAACACGUAAAGAACCUGCCUCAUAGACUGGGACAACUAUUGGAAACGAUAGCUAAUACCGGAUAACAGUAUUUCUCGCAUGAGAGAUAUUUAAAAGUUGGUUAUGCUAACACUAUGAGAUGGCUUUGCGGUGCAUUAGCUAGUUGGCGGGGUAAAGGCCCACCAAGGCGACGAUGCAUAGCCGACCUGAGAGGGUGAUCGGCCACACUGGGACUGAGACACGGCCCAGACUCCUACGGGAGGCAGCAGUAGGGAAUCUUCCGCAAUGGGCGAAAGCCUGACGGAGCAACGCCGCGUGAGUGAAGAAGGAUUUCGGUUCGUAAAGCUCUGUUGUUAGGGAAGAAUGGAUAUGUAGUAACUAUACAUGUAAGAGACGGUACCUAACCAGAAAGCCACGGCCAACUACGUG